This 1198-nucleotide ribosomal RNA is filed under the name metagenome. Its description in RNAcentral is "bacterial SSU rRNA". It matches the Rfam family "Eukaryotic small subunit ribosomal RNA", at positions 186 to 1306 of the family's 1831-position model. The record is from RNAcentral.
ACCAUCUGGAAAUGGUGUAUUUAUUAGUCUCAAAGCCAAGACGAUCACUUCGGUGGUUGGUUUCAUUGGUGAAUCAGAAUAACUAUCACGAACCAGAACGCCAUUCGUGGUGAUUUCUGGUGGUUCAUUCAAAUUUCUGCCCUAUCAUACUUUCGAUGGUAGUAUAGAGGACUACCAUGGUUGUAACGGGUAACGGAGAAUUAGGGUUCGAUUCCGGAGAGGGAGCCUGAGAGACGGCUACCACUUCUAAGGAAGGCAGCAGGCGCGCAAAUUACCCAAUCAGAAAUUCUGGAGGUAGUGACAAUAAAUAACAAUACAAGUCUUACUUAAGUCGUGUAAUUGGAAUGAGAGCAAUUUAAACCCCUCAUCGAGUAGCAAUUGGAGGGCAAGUCUGGUGCCAGCAGCCGCGGUAAUUCCAGCUCCACUAGUAUAUACUAAAGUUGUUGCAGUUAAAGAGCUCGUAGUUGGAUUCAAGAUUUUGGAUGACUGGUCUCACGUUAAAUUGUGAUGUACCGUUGCUCAAUGUCUUAUUUUUCUUGUAAAAAGUCUUCCAGUAAUCGCCUACUGCCAUUGAUUUGGUGGGUUGGGAUCACGGUUCUGGAUUCUUUACUCUGAAAAAAUUAGAGUGUUCAAAACAGCCGAGUAUUAUUUGGCAUUGAAUAGAUUAGCAUGGGAUAAUGGAAAAGGAUCACGUCACUUUUUCAUUGGUUUAUAGUGGUGUGAUAAUGAUAAAUAGGAACAAUCGGGGGCAUUAGUAUUCAGUUGUCAGAAGUGAAAUUCUCGGAUUCUCUGAAGACUAACAUCGGCGAAAGCAUUUGUCAAGGAUGUUUUCAUUAAUCAAGAACGAAAGUCAGGGGAUCGAAGAUGAUCAGAUACCGUCGUAGUCCUGUACCAUAAACUAUGCCGACCAGCAAUCCAGUUUAGUUACUAGUUCCAUAUCAUCUCGCGAUGAUUUGGAUGGAUGACAUUCCGGGCGGCUUGUGAGAAAUCAUAAGUGUUUAGGUCCUGGGGGGAGUAUGGUCGCAAGGCUGAAACUUAAAGGAAUUGACGGAAGGGCACCACAAGGCGUGGAGCUUGCGGCUUAAUUUGACCCAACACGGGGAAACUUACCAGGUCUGGACAUAGAAAUGAUUGACAGAUUGAGAGCUCUUUCUUGAUUCUAUGGGUGGUGGUGCAUGGCCGUUCUUAGUUCGUGGAU